Molecule: long non-coding RNA, 299 nt
Organism: Patella vulgata (common limpet)
Lineage: Eukaryota; Metazoa; Mollusca; Gastropoda; Patellidae
Exons: 3
Source: RefSeq, a predicted model, not a curated record
UUCAUAUCAAUAUAUAUUGAAUAUUUCCAGCUAAAGAUCAAGAUGAGUAUCAUAGUUACAGCUAUUGUGUUUUCUCUGUGUCUUGUGAGUUUCAGUUAUGGCCAAAAAUUCUCAUCUAUGGACCAAAAUAAUGAUACGAAAUUGACAUAUGCUGAAUUGGAAGGUUACUUUGCUACGUUUGAUAUGAAUGGUAACGAUGAAGUUACCCGGGCGGAGCAUAAAAAGAAAACUGAUAUGAAUAAAGCUGAAGCCGAAGCUGUAUUUAAAAUGUACGACACAAAUAAAGACGGAAAAAUUGA